This 240-nucleotide ribosomal RNA is filed under the name uncultured Bacillota bacterium. RNAcentral describes it as "uncultured Firmicutes bacterium partial 16S ribosomal RNA". It matches the Rfam family "Bacterial small subunit ribosomal RNA", at positions 94 to 334 of the family's 1533-position model. The record is from RNAcentral. Lineage: Bacteria; Bacillati; Bacillota.
AGCGGCGGACGGGUGAGUAACGCGUGGGUAACCUGCCCUGUACACACGGAUAACAUACCGAAAGGUAUGCUAAUACGAGAUAAAAUACUUUUAUCGCAUGGUAGAAGUAUCAAAGCUUUUGCGGUACAGGAUGGACCCGCGUCUGAUUAGCUAGUUGGUAAGGUAACGGCUUACCAAGGCGACGAUCAGUAGCCGACCUGAGAGGGUGAUCGGCCACAUUGGAACUGAGACACGGUCCAA